RNAcentral lists this ribosomal RNA (380 nucleotides) under uncultured eukaryote. RNAcentral describes it as "partial 18S ribosomal RNA". It matches the Rfam family "Eukaryotic small subunit ribosomal RNA", at positions 592 to 976 of the family's 1831-position model. The record is from RNAcentral.
CAAUAGCGUAUAUUAAAGUUGUUGCGGUUAAAAAGCUCGUAGUUGGAUUUCUGCUGAGGAUGACCGGUCCGCCCUCUGGGCAGGUAUCUGGCUCAGCCUUGGCAUCUUCCUGAAGAACGCAGCUGCACUUGACUGUGUGGUGCGGUAUUUAGGACAUUUACUUUGAGGAAAUUAGAGUGUUUCAAGCAAGCGCACGCCUUGAAUACAUUAGCAUGGAAUAAUAAGAUAGGACCUCGGUUCUAUUUUGUUGGUUUCUAGAACUGAGGUAAUGAUUGAUAGGGAUAGUUGGGGGCAUUCGUAUUUAACUGUCAGAGGCGAAAUUCUUGGAUUUGUUAAAGACGGACUACUGCGAAAGCAUUUGCCAAGGAUGUUUUCAUUGA